GGCGUCCCCCGCCCGCAGGAACCCGCGGCUGAAAAAGCGAAGGAGCGCGAUGAGGAGCCGCGGCACCAUCCCGGCACCAUCCCGGCAGCAUCCCGGUCCCGCGCACCCCCGCACCGCCCGCGGGCUGCGGGCACGCCCCCGCCGCGACACGCCCCGUCACGACACGGCCGAUCGCGACACGCCCCGCACCUGCUCUGCGGGGCUCCGCGGGGCGCUGGGAGGCGAGGAUGGGUGGGGGCUGUGGGGCGGCCGGGGGAUCGGACAUCACUCUCCAAUCGGGGGUGGGGGUCCCCGGGGUCGAGGGGGUGGUCCCGAUGUGGGAAUCGGGAUGUCACUCCCCGGUAUUGGGAGGGGGUCAGGAGUGGGAGUCCCAGUGUGGGGUGGUGAAGGGGGGAACGGGAGUGGGGCGGGUGCGCCCAUGUGGGGAGAGGAUCAGGGCAUGGCUCCCCACUCUGGAGCUUGCGGGGCAGGUGCCGACGGUGCCGUCACGGCUCUGGUACCCAGGAGGGCAAGAACCCCCCUCCGUGUUAAACCCUCCCCUCCUGGGGGUCGGGCCAGGAGUUUCCCCUUGCCCCUUCUCCCUUCUGGGGCAUGUUUCACCUCCCAGUAAAGAGACCCCUGUCACCUUAAAGGCUGCGCCCCACGUUUGGGUUGGGGCAGUCUUCCCCUCAUCCUCCCUGAUGGAGGGGCCGAAUCUCAUCCCAUCCCUCACCCUGGGGUAACCCUGAUGCAGGGCUCAGUAGAGAAAGCCUCCCCUGCCCCCCAUCCUAUAGGAUACUGCAGGGGGUCCUACCCAGUGUUCCCCUCUUGGAUAAGGAGGGACCCUCAUCUUGGGGACCCCUUAUAGGGUCUGUUCACCCUCACCCUCCUAUAUUAACCCCCCAUUGCUUUCAGUGAGGAGUGACACCUCCUCCCGUCCCCCCGACACUUACAAGGAUUUCGGGAUGCCGCCCCUCCCCAAUGGCCCCAGGGAAUCUGCACGGAGGGUGGACAUGCUCAAGCCGUGUCACACGAUGGCCACAUGCCACACGGUGAGAGGAAUAUCGCAUGGUGAGAGGGAUACCGGCAGCGUGACGAUCUCCAUCCCUCCCCCUCCUCCUUCUCUGGGCAGAAGAGAAAGUUCUAGUCUGGGGGAGGAUGGCCUGCUCUUCCUCCGGAUCCCGGGACUCCCGUGUCCCCAGGCACUCCCGUGUCCCUGCACCCCUGUAUCCUUGCCCCUCCAUGUUCCUGUGUCCCUGCAGUCCUGUGUCCCACACUCCCGUGUCCCUGCACCCUGUACCCUUGCCCCUCUGUGUUCCUGUGUCCCUGCAGUCCCGUGUCCCCCUCCCUGCCCAGGCACCCCUGUGUUCCUGCACCUCUGUGUCGCUGUCCCCAGGGUGCCCUUCAGGGACAGGACGCUACUAGGCUCCGCUGGGGGUUUGCAAAGGACUCCUCCCAUGGUCUCUGAACCCUCACUAGGACAGGUGGUGAUAAGGAAAUGCCACCCCGAGGCAGGAGCCAAGCAGGGAAUGGCGUUCUUGGAUGGGAACAUCUCAGCGGUCAGAUGGAGAAACACACAGCCUCAGAACCCAGCCCUGGAGCUGCUGGGGAGUAACUGUAGGUGCUCAGGAGAGGCAGCAGGGUGGGCUUCCCACAUUUCCAUCCAUCCUGUAGUUUUCUUUUGUUCCUAGCCUGAAGUGGAUCAAUAAAGUGCUGUGCCUCCUGUCUCUUCCUGGGAACUGGGGAGCAGCCACGCCGCA
Long non-coding RNA from Melospiza melodia melodia, 1739 nucleotides. RefSeq lists it as uncharacterized. NCBI's taxonomy places the organism in Eukaryota, Metazoa, Chordata, Aves, Passeriformes, Passerellidae. The record is from RefSeq and is a predicted model, not a curated record. The transcript is spliced from 2 exons.